This 270-nucleotide long non-coding RNA is filed under the name Gossypium barbadense (sea-island cotton). RNAcentral's name for it is "long non-coding RNA (GBAR_LNC009659)". Lineage: Eukaryota; Viridiplantae; Streptophyta; Magnoliopsida; Malvales; Malvaceae. The record is from RNAcentral.
UUUUAGGUUCAAAUUCUUUUCCCUUGAAUUUUGUUAAAAUUUUUUAAUCCCCUAUUUAGGACCUUCUGGUUUAAGUAAUGUUUUCGUUCAACUGAUAAUAAGAAUGUGCUUGUUGGUUUAGUGGUAAGACUUCAAUUUACUCUUUGGCCCUGUGUUCGAAUCCUCGUGUGUCACACGGGUUGGGUCAAUUGGGCCAUGUGGGUCCAUCUUUUGAAAAAUUUCAUGUAGACCGUUUGAUUCUGAAAUUUGUAAUUAAACUUUCCGUAAGGC